CGCGUAGGUGGUAGUGAAAGUCUAUGGUGGAAUCUUAGGGCUUAACCCUAAAACUGCCUUGGAAACUUCAUUACUUGAGUCAGUGAGGGGAGGGUAGAAUCCCUGGUGUAGCGGUGAAAUGCGUAGAUAUCAGGAGGAAGGCCGGUGGCGAAGGCGGCCCUCUGGCGCUGAACUGACGCUGAGGCGCGAAAGCGUGGGUAGCAAACAGGAUUAGAUACCCUGGUAGUCCACGCCCUAAACGGUGGGUACUAGGUGUAGGGCUCGUAAGGGUUCUGUGCCGAAGGGAAACCAUUAAGUACCCCGCCUGGGGAGUACGGCCGCAAGGUUGAA
Molecule: ribosomal RNA, 330 nt
Filed under: uncultured bacterium
Lineage: Bacteria
Description: bacterial SSU rRNA
Rfam family: Bacterial small subunit ribosomal RNA
Source: RNAcentral